This is a non-coding RNA of Oryza glaberrima (African rice), 208 nucleotides long. Lineage: Eukaryota; Viridiplantae; Streptophyta; Magnoliopsida; Poales; Poaceae. The record is from Rfam.
AAUAAGUACAGUUUUGCACUAUUCACGUUUAACGUUUGACCGUUCGUCUUAUUUGAAAAUUUUUUAUGAUUAGUAUUUUUAUUGCUAUUAGAUGAUAAAACAUGAAUAGUACUUUAUGUGUGACUAAAUAUUUUUAAAUUUUUCAUAAUUUUUUUAAAUAAAACGGGCAAUCAAAUGUUGGGUACGGAUAUUCACGGCUGCAUUUAUU